GUUCUAGUAGUUUAUUAUAAAACUUAGGUCUUGUAAACCUAAAAAAAGCAUGAUGCUUCUAGUACU
RNAcentral lists this transfer RNA (66 nucleotides) under Cermatobius longicornis. Its description in RNAcentral is "tRNA-Thr". Lineage: Eukaryota; Metazoa; Arthropoda; Chilopoda; Lithobiomorpha; Henicopidae. The record is from RNAcentral.